UAGGGAAUAUUGCAAAAUGGGCGAAAGCCCGAUGCAGCAACGCCGCGUGGGCGAUGAAGGCCUUCGGGUCGUAAAGCCCUUUUUGAGGGGAUGAGGAAGGACAGUACCCUCAGAAUAAGCCUCGGCUAACUACGUGCCAGCAGCCGCGGUAAAACGUAGGAAGCGAGCGUUAUCCGGAUUUACUGGGCGUAAAGCGCGUGCAGGCGGAUUGGAGAGUUGGAUGUGAAAGCUCCCGGCUUAACUGGGAGAGGUCGUUCAAUACUUCCAGUCUUGAGUGCAGUAGAGGGAAGUGGAAUUCCGGGUGUAGUGGUGAAAUGCGUAGAUAUCCGGAGGAACACCAGUGGCGAAAGCGGCUUCCUGGACUGUAACUGACGCUCAGACGCGAAAGCUAGGGUAGCAAAC
Molecule: ribosomal RNA, 402 nt
Filed under: uncultured bacterium
Lineage: Bacteria
Description: bacterial SSU rRNA
Rfam family: Bacterial small subunit ribosomal RNA
Source: RNAcentral